Molecule: long non-coding RNA, 1610 nt
Filed under: Coturnix japonica (Japanese quail)
Lineage: Eukaryota; Metazoa; Chordata; Aves; Galliformes; Phasianidae
Description: lncRNA (ENSCJPG00005008733.1)
Source: RNAcentral
UAGGGGAGAUCAUUCUGGAAUUUUCCCAGCAUUUUUUUCAGUGUUUUCCUCAGGUUUCGUAUGAUUCCCAAACCAAUAUUAUCCAGUUUUAGUUUUAAUUUUCCUGCAAACCCUGUCACUCAGGGAGAAGAGAUAAUUCAUAGCUGCUAUGUUCCUUAGUGUCUUUGCCAAUCAAAACAUGCAGAUUGCUGUUCUACAGGCAAUGCGGUUAUCAUGAUUCAAGACAUUUGGCUCCUUUGUGAGGUUCUUCUGGCUUAUAAAGGAAAAUUCACACCAAGGAAGAAGAAAACCAUCAGGGCAUUAAAUAUUUAUUUGAAAAUUUAAAUUUUUGGCUACAGAGAAGGGCCUAGGUAGAGUUCCACAUUUAACAAGAGGGCUUACUGAAACAAUGUCUACAGACAUAACUCUCGCAAUUUGCUGACAGAUUUGCUGAACACCUCUUUUUAAAAGAGAGAUAUAACUCAGUGUUAUGAAAGACCCUUAAAUAUAAACAAAUACCUUCUAAUUUUGGUUUGUAAGGUGAUGCUGGUGAAAUAGGAAAAAUGGAUUGCCAAUCAUAUGACUUAUAGUGAUGUGAUGAGGAAAUUAUUCACCUCUUAUUCAUUCAGACUCUGGGUAACAAGCUUGAAGUCAAAAGCAAUCAUCCAUAACAUGGCUAGAAGUGUGACCUGUCAUGUCUCACACAUAGAGAAUUUUUACAUUCAGAUGACUCAUUCUCUUUGGAUUGUUUUGCUUUGGACCAAAUCUUGCUCAUUUCAAAAGAAGCUGUGUUUGGAGAAUGAGCUCUAUGAUCUAGCCACAGUGUUGGCAGUUACAGCAGGUGCUAAGGACUCUACCUAUCACAGGACAAUACCUACAUAACAAAAUUCUUUAACUUUUACUGGAAGUGUAUCCUGCGGGCUCUGACUUACAGCAUGGAACUGAAUGGAUCAAGAAGGUGCCAUGUAUUUACAUGGCAAUUACUUGUGCAUGAUUGAUUCCAGUUGACUGCAAAGAAUAUAAUGCCAUGUGUGGAUACUGAGGAGCAUCAUAUUUGAGAAGAAUUAGAUGGGAAAUAAUAAUUCCUAAUUUCCUUUUGGCCUCUUUUUUUCUAAUGAAGCUUACUCUCAGCUGCACUGUGUAGUCUUGAAUACUCAAGCAUACUUCUGCCUCAGUGCUGGAUACGUAAAGACAUCAAACAGUCCCAUGGAAAUGUGUCCAGAUUUAGUCAUAAUUACAGUCCUCGUGCACCAACUGCACUUAGUGGGAGGAACCUUGGAGGGAAGUGAGCGUGCAGUAUUCCAAAGAUGCAUGGAAGAGCCAGGAUACCUCAGAUUUUGGAGUAGGAGUGUGCUCCUUGGAAGCUGCACAAGGAGAUUAUUGUCUCUGUCAUGCAAAGGCCUUAUAAAGCUGUAAUGGUAACAUGUUUUAUAGGAAUCUGAAAAAUACACUUAUGCAGUUGCAUGUAUGACUGGGUACACACAUGGAGAGACAGGAUGGAUCAGUCUUUCUAAAGCACUCAUUUUAUUAGAUGAGCCUAGCAAAAGAUCUAUUAGGAAACGUAUAGUGCUGCACUCAGAUUGUGUCUUCAUGGGUUAUAUGUUACAUUACAAUGGAGGCUGAAACUGUCC